RNAcentral lists this ribosomal RNA (497 nucleotides) under uncultured bacterium. RNAcentral's name for it is "partial 16S ribosomal RNA". It matches the Rfam family "Bacterial small subunit ribosomal RNA", at positions 28 to 507 of the family's 1533-position model. The record is from RNAcentral.
GACGAACGCUGGCGGCGUGCCUAAUACAUGCAAGUUGAGCGAUGAAGAUUGGUGCUUGCACCAAUUUGAAUAGCAGCGAACGGGUGAGUAACGCGUGGGGAAGCUGCUUUUUAGCGGGGGACAACAUUGGGAAACGAAUGCUAAUACCGCAUAACAACUUUAAACAGAAGUUGUAAGUUUGAAAGAUGCAAUUGCAUCACUCAAAGAUGAUCCCGCGUUUUAUUAGCUAGUUGGGGAGGUAAAGGCCCACCAAGGGGAUGAUACAUAGCCGACCUGAGAGGGUGGUCGGCCACAUUGGGACUGAGACACGGCCCCAACUCCUUCGGGAGGCAGCAGUAGGGAAUCUUCGGCAAUGGACGACAGUCUUACCGCACCACGCCGCGUGAGUGAAGAAGGUUUUCGGAUCGUAAAACUCUGUUGGUAGAGAAGAACGUUGGUGAGAGUGGAAAGCUCAUCAAGUGACGGUAACUACACAGAAAGGGACGGCUAACUACGUG